AUGGACGGCGGCGCUCCCCCGGCCAUCGCGCCGGACGCCGUCAUCAACCUCGAGCUGUGCGUGUUCGCGCUUCCCUAUUUUGUGCGCGCUUACGGUAAGGUGUUUUCAAUCGAUCUGACAACGUGCUUCGCCUCACUGCCGGUUUCGGUUCUGCCUGCAUGCAGCGGCGACCCGACCAUGUACGAGGCGUUCUGGAGGGAGGUCGGGGAGAGGUCGGCGGUGGUGAUCCCGGGGUGGUCGGGGAUGAGCUACUUCUCCAAUGCCCAGAGCCUCUGCUGGUACCUCGACCCGGAGUUCGAGCGCGAGGUGCGCCUCGUCCACCGCCUCGUCGGCAACACCGCGGUCGACGACGGCUACCACCUCGUGGUCGGCACCGGCGCCACCCAGCUCUUCCAGGCGGCCAUGUACGCCCUGUCUCCCCCCGGCGCCGAACGGCCCGUCGGCGUCGUCUCGCCGGCGCCCUACUACUCGUCGUACCCGCCGCAGACGGACCUCCUGCUCUCGGGGUUGUACCAGUGGGCCGACGACGCCAAAGCCUUCGACGGUGACGGCCUGUCAGGAUCUAACUAG
This 570-nucleotide ribosomal RNA is filed under the name Triticum aestivum (bread wheat). RNAcentral's name for it is "partial small subunit ribosomal RNA". Lineage: Eukaryota; Viridiplantae; Streptophyta; Magnoliopsida; Poales; Poaceae. The record is from RNAcentral.